UAUGUUUUAGUAUAGGAUGUACAUAAAUUUUUGAAAUUUUUGGGGAUAAUUUAAUUUAUCAGACGUAA
RNAcentral lists this transfer RNA (68 nucleotides) under Erotides cosnardi. RNAcentral's name for it is "tRNA-Gln". The record is from RNAcentral. Lineage: Eukaryota; Metazoa; Arthropoda; Insecta; Coleoptera; Lycidae.